GCAUCUCACCAGAAAUCUAAUGGAGCACUAAACAAUCACACACCACCAACCAAGCAAGAUAAAACAAUAAAGCCAACAAAAAGAUAAAAGUGAUACACAUAUCUAAUCUCACNCCCCUCCCCCAAACUUAUUACAGAACAUAAGUUCGAAAAUAAGUUUGGAGGGAUGAUGAUAUGUGUGUCACUACUUACAAAAAAUUUAUGCUCCACGGUGGUGGUAUGAACAAGGCGCGAGUUCCCGCAUCUUCCAAGCUCAACACUGCACUAAAAACCCCAAACAAAACAACGAAACAAAAAGAAACAAAACAAAACUAAAAGAACGAAAACAAAACAAAAUAAAACAGUUGGGUUACCUCCCAACAAGUGCUUAAUUUAACGUCUAGAGCUCGACGAUACCUCAUGGUCUCAAUGAACAUCAAACGCAGCGGGCGUGACAGACCGCCUAACACGAACAGAGAUAGAGGACUCAUGCGCAUCAGCUGCGUGAAAGAUAACGCUUCCAUUCGGCACAUCUAUCAUA
This 519-nucleotide long non-coding RNA is filed under the name Salvia miltiorrhiza (redroot sage). Its description in RNAcentral is "long non-coding RNA (SMIL_LNC012669)". The record is from RNAcentral. Lineage: Eukaryota; Viridiplantae; Streptophyta; Magnoliopsida; Lamiales; Lamiaceae.